CCUACGGGAGGCAGCAGUGAGGAAUAUUGGUCAAUGGCCGGAAGGCUGAACCAGCCAAGCCGCGUGAAGGACGAAGGUGCCAAGCAUUGUAAACUUCUUUUGUAAGGGAACAAAAUCAGGCACGAGACCCUGACCGAGGGUACUUGAAGAAAAAGCAUCGGCUAACUCCGUGCCAGCAGCCGCGGUAAUACGGAGGAUUCGAGCGUUAUCCGGAUUUAUUGGGUUUAAAGGGUGCGUAGGCGGACUUUUAAGUCAGCGGUGAAAGGCCGGGGGCCAACCCCGGGCUAGCCGUGGAAACUGGGUGUCUUGAGAUGUCGAGAGGCAGGCGGAAUGCGGAGUGUAGCGGUGAAAUGCUUAGAUAUUGCGCAGAACUCCGAUUGCGAAGGCAGCAUACCGGCGGCGAUCUGACGCUGAGGCACGAAAGCGUGGGUAUCGAACAGGAUUAGAUACCCGAGUAGUC
RNAcentral lists this ribosomal RNA (460 nucleotides) under uncultured bacterium. RNAcentral describes it as "partial 16S ribosomal RNA". It matches the Rfam family "Bacterial small subunit ribosomal RNA", at positions 338 to 795 of the family's 1533-position model. The record is from RNAcentral.